RNAcentral lists this small nuclear RNA (174 nucleotides) under Octodon degus (degu). Its description in RNAcentral is "U1 spliceosomal RNA (ENSODEG00000021042.1)". It matches the Rfam family "U1 spliceosomal RNA". From Rfam's summary of the family: U1 is a small nuclear RNA (snRNA) component of the spliceosome (involved in pre-mRNA splicing). Lineage: Eukaryota; Metazoa; Chordata; Mammalia; Rodentia; Octodontidae. The record is from RNAcentral.
AUACUUACCUGGCAGGGCAGAUACCAUGAUCACGAAAGUGGUUUUCCCAGGGCGAGGCUUAUCCAUUGCACUUUGUAAUAGUUCUACUCCAUAACUACAUAUCUUAGUCUUUCUUACAAUGUUCCCUGAAAAUCCUAUUGCUGCAUUAUCUCUGCUCAUUUGGUAUUUACCUUU